RNAcentral lists this ribosomal RNA (664 nucleotides) under uncultured bacterium. Its description in RNAcentral is "bacterial SSU rRNA". It matches the Rfam family "Bacterial small subunit ribosomal RNA", at positions 28 to 683 of the family's 1533-position model. The record is from RNAcentral.
AUUGAACGCUGGCGGCAGGCCUAACACAUGCAAGUCGAGCGGUAGCACAGAGAAGCUUGCUUCUUGGGUGACGAGCGGCGGACGGGUGAGUAACGCGUGGGAAUCUACCUGGUAGUGGGGGACAACAGUCGGAAACGACUGCUAAUACCGCAUACGCCCUUUGGGGGAAAGUGGGGGAUCUUCGGACCUCACGCUAUCAGAAGAGCCCGCGUCGGAUUAGCUGGUUGGUGGGGUAAGAGCCCACCAAGGCGAUGAUCCGUAGCUGGUCUGAGAGGAUGACCAGCCACACUGGGACUGAGACACGGCCCAGACUCCUACGGGAGGCAGCAGUGGGGAAUAUUGGGCAAUGGGGGCAACCCUGAUCCAGCCAUGCCGCGUGUGAAGAAGGCCUUCGGGUUGUAAAGCACUUUCAGCUGUGAGGAAAGGUGAGUGGUUAAUACCCGCUUGCUGUGACGUUAACAGCAGAAGAAGGACCGGCUAACUCCGUGCCAGCAGCCGCGGUAAUACGGAGGGUCCGAGCGUUAAUCGGAAUUACUGGGCGUAAAGCGCGCGUAGGUGGUUCAGUCAGUCAGAUGUGAAAGCCCCGGGCUCAACCUGGGAACGGCACCUGAUACUGCUGAGCUAGAGUACGGUAGAGGGCAGUGGAAUUUCCGGUGUAGCGGUG